Sapajus apella (tufted capuchin) is the source of this 915-nucleotide long non-coding RNA. RefSeq lists it as uncharacterized. NCBI's taxonomy places the organism in Eukaryota, Metazoa, Chordata, Mammalia, Primates, Cebidae. The record is from RefSeq and is a predicted model, not a curated record. The transcript is spliced from 2 exons.
GAUGGGGCGCAGUGGGCAGCGAGGCGGUGUCUCGGCCAGAGGGGCUCACUCAGGCUGUGGAGCGCCCUGUGCCGCCUAAACAGAAACUCUGCCAGGCCAAGGAAACACAGCUACCAGCUGACUCACUCUCCCAGCAAGCAACACCGGCUCCUCCCCGAGCCAGGCCCUAGAAGAGAGACCGACCUCUCGCACUGCCAUCUGGGGGGUGGCACCAGGCUGUGAAGGAUCCACACACUGGCACAUGCAGGAAGAAACAGGGCGGGCGAGGGGCAAGGACCCCAACAAGCAGGAGCGGGUCAGAGCCCUCCCUGCACCCCACUGUGGCAGGGGCCCACCAAUGCCCCGUGCUCACCCACCAGAGCACUGCAGGUGAAAGGUGAGAAGAGGAACACAGAACAUUCUCCUGGACGCCACCCACAGGAAGCCACCCACAGGCUUGGCCCUCACCCUGGGGACAUUGGACACAUCUGGCUCUCAGGGCUGGGGGCAGCGUCCAGGACUCCUGAUGCAGAAGGCACACGGGCACCAGCGCCCCCCCUCAGCAAACUCCAUGUCUCAUGAAAUUAGGACAGGAUUUCUACUUUAUUUUGAAAAUAUGGCCAAGAUCCGUCCACGUGUGGCUGACUCAGAGCUGUGACUUUAGGGGAAAGGAAAGGAAGUGAUUGAGCUGCCUUUGCAGACAACAUUGGGAUUUUUGAAGAACUCGAGAAUCAGUCUAUGGAAAGGUUUGUGCCGUGGAGUCGCUGCUUGUGAAGGCUUGUGCGUCUGAAUUGCUGGCAAGGACAGUGGGAGAUACUUCAUUCAUUCAUAAAUGCCUUUAAAAUGUGGGAGAAGCACCUUGAAAAGGAUUGGUAGAAUUUACCAAAUUAAUACAAUUGGUAAAAUAAACCCAAACAUCUGGGGGGAAAAACGUAA